This is an RNA transcript of Mauremys reevesii (Reeves's turtle), 3755 nucleotides long. It is a transcript of the gene named fibronectin type III domain containing 7, with no coding region annotated. The record is from RefSeq and is a predicted model, not a curated record. NCBI's taxonomy places the organism in Eukaryota, Metazoa, Chordata, Testudines, Geoemydidae. The transcript is spliced from 14 exons.
GCUCCGAGCAGAGGCUUACUGGCGGGAACCGAGCGUUACCUGGUGUCACAGGAGAGGGACAUUAUACUCCUCUCCACCACAGAGCACUGGCGGACCAACACCAAAAUCAUGGUCCACAUCCAACCAGGCCUGGGCUGUCCCAGACUCACAGACAGACCCACUUGCACCAGUGCCCUCCCCAAUAUCAAGUAGCACUCACUCACCAUACUACUGCAGAACCUAAAGGCAAUACAGGAGCAGCUGAGAAGCAUGCAUCAAACUCCAUGAGCCACAUACAGUGCCAGGCCAGGUGUUUACUCUCAUCCCCUUCAUAUCAAACACAAACCAUCCUAUUAUCCAGUUUUCCUGUUGUCUGAGAACAAAAUGCACCUGCAUGAAGCAGCUGACUGAAACUAAUCUUUGGCAAGAUGGACAAUUAUGUAUGUGUGGGAAGUUACCCAAAAGAAAUGGUCUUAACUACAAAAGUCACCCUCACCUGAAGAAGUCUUCAGUGUAAUCAUCAACUCAGUUCAUGGCCUGGGGAUUUUUCUGGACUCUGCUUCUUCUGGAUACACAAAUAGCUAUAAUGGCUAGAAAUGCCUCUUAGUAGCUCCAACUGCUCAGGGGAUACAUUCAGUUCUAUUUUAUAGAGCCCUGGCCAUGGUGAUUUAUUCCACUGCAUUGUACCAGGGAUUGAAAGUAAAGGGUUUACACUCUGGCUGAUCAAACAUGGAGUGGCUUGUCUACUAAUAUAGAUGGGUGAUACAUGCACAGCAAUCUAAUGCUCCAAAAUCUACAGUGACUCCCUGUCCAAAACUAGAUGCAAUUCAAAAUCUUGGUCUUGAUCUUCAAAUCCCUGAGUGAGGUGAACCCAGAUGAUCUCAGGCACUUUUUCUCUGUGAUUUAUUACAGCAAUUACAUUUUUCAGGGACAAGGUCAGUAGCAAGGAUUAAACUUGCUGCAGGAGCAAGAGGGUGACUAAUCGCUCUGGAAUACCUUUCCAUCAAAAAUGGUAAUAACCAUGGCUUUGCAACUUUCAGACACAAAUAUUGUUUCAGCUAACACAGGUUUCUCUAUAUCCAUAUAUAAUGUGACAUCAAGAAACAUUUAUCUCAGAUGGUCCAAGUUUUCAGGAGCCUUUUCCUACAGAAUCACAGCCACCCCCAGGAAUACAGUAGGCCACUCUUUGUUGGCACAUUUCAGUGAUGUUCCUGUUAUAGGCAUUCUUACUUCACUAACUCCCAACACUGUCCACACUGUAAAAGUGGAAGCCAUUGAUAAGAAUGGAAUUAUCCUGGCGGAAGCACAGACUAAGCAGUUAACAGCUCCUGAGAUACCUGUUAUUGACCAAGCUUAUUCAAAACUGAGCAACAGUAUCACAGUGGAAUGGGCAGCUGUUCCUGGGGCUACCAGUUAUCUAUUGACUGCACAGGAUGGAGAGUCUUCCAUUGAAACUAUAGUCAUAAAUUCACCAAGCACAGUGACAGGAUUGAAGGCUAAUACACUGUACAAAAUCACCAUCAGAUCUAUAAACUCUGGAGGAAGAAGCCUACCUUCACCUUCAAAGAAGGCAAAGACAGUCUUGGCUGCUCCGGUCCUGUCUGUAAGUUCUCCAAGUUACGACUCCAUAGUGGUGAGCUGGGGAGCUGUAUAUAUGGCAGUUGGAUUCUCUGUGUCCAUCAUGAGAUCAGAUGGUUUAGGCAGUAUGAUGAAAGAGAACACCACCCAUACUUCCUUGGUAUUUACCAGUCUAGAUCCAGGAACUCUCUAUACCAUCAAGGCACAUGCCUGGAACAUUAAUGGAAUACCUGGAGAUGAUUUCACGUUAAACCAAAUAACAAGUCCUCAUGCACCAUCAGAUGUUCAAGUUGCUUUUGACAGUGGAACUUUGAGGGCCAUUGUUUCUUGGAUACCGACAGAGGGAACUUUAAAUUACAGUGUGACAGCCAGCAGUGGAGCCUCCAAACUGAACUGUAGCACAUCUUCCACUUCCUGCCCUUUGUCUUCACUCCAGUGUGGAUCUGAGUAUUCUGUUUAUGUUGUAGCCAGUAACGGUGCUGGAUCCAGUAAACCUACAGAUGCAGUGAGUUUAAAAACUGUUCCUUGUGCACCAGGAAGUAUAACAAUAGAAGAGGACAACCCUGGUAAAUUGUCAGUGUCAUGGUCUAAUGUAGAUAUUGGAGAUUAUUAUGUGGUUUUUGUGAAAAGCGAUGACGGCUUGGAAGUGCACUGCAACACAUCCCAUACCCAAUGCCACUUCCAAUCAGAUUGUGGUUUCACCUACUUCAUUAGUGUCUUCGCAUAUAACAAAGCAGGACAGAGUCCUUUAGGGGAUAUAUUCAAUUAUACGACUUCACCUUGUUGCCCCAGUGACUUUUACCCAGUGUUUGUGUCCAGCGAUACAGUUGAAAUUGUCUGGUCUCCUGUCCGUGGUGCUGAAAUGUAUGAAACAAAAGCUGUUGAUGGGGUUGGUGUAGUAUUGUGUCAUGCCACUGCCACAAUUUGCAUCCUGACUGCAUUGCAGUGUAACACCCAGUAUAACAUCACUGUGUAUUCUUACAGUGAAAUCAGGGGCACCAAUACAUCAUGUGUAUCUAAAUAUGUGGCAACAGCUCCAUGCAGUCCUGAAAUAAAAAACAUCUCACAGGAUGAUCUUUCCAUAAUUAGCGUGCACUGGCAGGCCAAUAAUGAUGACGCUAUAUACACUGUUACUGCUAGAGGAGAGGCUGGAUUGUGGCAUUGCACAAGUUCUGGAAAUUCCUGUAGCAUAACUGGUCUUCCCUGUGGAUCAGUUUUCUCUAUUAGUGCUAUGGCAAUUACAACAGCAGGGCAGAGCUUACCUAGUUACAGUGUUCCUUUAGAGACAGCUCCUUGUUGCCCUAAUGAUCUGACAGUAACUCAAGUGAUGCAGUCUAUAACAAAUAUCAGCUGGUCUGUUGGGGCUGGUGCAAAGACAUACAUAACAAUACUGGAAUCACCGAAAGGACCAGCCAAGUGCCACACUCUCCAAAACCACUGUCUCCUGGGAUGCAUUACAUGUGGCACCAACUAUACAGUGUCUCUGAAAGUGAUUAGUGAAACUGGUUUGGCCUCAGACUGCACAUAUCAAGACUAUUCUUCCAGUGCUUGCUGUCCUUCUGGGGUGAAAUUAUAUAGACUGGGCAAUAAUGGUAUCCGAAUAUACUGGCAAGCUUCUGCGGGGUUGAUAAGUACAGAUCUAUAUGGAUCAAAAGGCAAUUUCACCUGUACCCCUCCUUCAGGUUUGAGUUAUUGUGAUGUCACCGAGAUACCUUGUGGGGAUGUCUAUACAGUGGUAGUUUCUCCAGUUCCUGAGAAAGGAUCAAAGCUUACAUUUUGCCCUAAAAAAAUAUAUUCAGUGACUUGCUCUGGAAGUUCUGUUGGAAUGGGUACGAGAAUGCUUGAUCUAUAGAGGAAAGAGAGGUGCAGAAUAACAUUUUUCUGGAUAGAAUCAUUGGUUCAGACAAGCAGAAUACAGUUAUGCAACUCUAUUGGGCACCUGAAUCAUCACUUCGGGUCACUUACACAAAGCAUGAUGGAACAUUCUGAACACCAGUACUAAAUUAUUAUUAAAAAUGAUUUUUAUUCACUGUCAAAAGUUUCCCUCUUUAGGAAUUUUUUUUUAAAUAAAUGAAUUGCACUACUUAGUAAGAAAUAGCUAGCUUUUAUUUCCAAUUUAGGGUUUGAAAAGGUAGGAGAAUAUAGAAAUUAGUGUUGUUCUGUUUGAACUCCCCCCAACCUCCCCAAAAAAGGUUUUA